UCAUUAUCCUUCCACCGCUGGUGGCGGGCGGUACUCGCUGCUCUGUGAAGCCAGCCUCACGCAAUGUCCGCCACUUUAGGUGUUGGGAUGCAAAGGCUUUCGCCAAGGCAUCCGAAACCCACUACACAACUUGGAAUGGGUGGUCCACAGUUUGUAGCACUAGACCCAGGCACAUGCACCACAAUUGACAUCCACACUACCUUAUUGCCCCCGCUCGGGUUACAAGCAAUCGCUACUUGCUCAGCGAGUGAGGGGGUUCAAGACUACCUAUUUAAGGUGGUGUUGUACUCUAUGAGCCGGCGGUGUGGUAUUUACCAACUACAAAUAGUGUCAUGCAUGUGACUUGCUAGUUGACAAUGUCUGUUGUCAAGCUAGGUGUGGGCUAUGGAUGAAGCACAUUAGGAUAUAGUAGGCCUAUUUUGUUUUUUGUUGUUUUUGGGCCACUAUGGACUGUAUGUUGAUGUUGUGAAAUUUUUUUCUUGUGUUUCCUCUUCCUACGAUGUGGAAAGUGGGUGCGUCAGAGAAGAAAGAAAGAGUGGCUAGCAUUGAUUUUACGUCAUACCAUUGAGAACACUAAUCAGAAGCAGAAGCAACAAUAUUUCAUACAUAUACAACACUUGUAAUCCAUAUAAACAACAUUCCUUUAAAAUAUAAUAUAAACCACAUGAUUUAUAUCCUGGGUCGGCUAUCUCCACAAAGGGCAAGAAAACGCUCCAAGUUUGUAGUAUAGCACUAAAAGUGUCGAUUCUCACGAUUUCUUCCCGACAUAUACAAACUAGACAGUAAUCACAUAAAAUAAAGAAAUAUGUGUUAACACGAACUUAUAACAUGUAUUUCAACAUAUAGAUUGUUGAUUAUUAUGGUAGAUUAUAUAAAAUAGGGGUUCCCGAAGAAAUACAUAAAAACAAGAGCAUUAAAAUUUCCUUUUCAGAUCUGGCUAUCUGGUAAAAGGAGUUGGAGUAACUGAGUUUCCAAAUUUGUGACGUAGCUCUAUAGAAGGAAUAUAAAUACGUUGGAAAAAUUCUAUAAGGAAAGGUUUAAUACAAGUAGGGCUAAGAAAAACUCAAUGAGGCUUUGGUCGCAUGGUCACAAAACUUGAGACAAGAAACACGAAGACACCAAGGUAAUUAGUAUGAGAGUUUUCCAAAUUUGGUGUCUUGAUGUAGAAAAAAUAAAUAUAUGACAAACUUGUUUUUUCGCAAGGCAUGGAUAAAUAAGUGGGGGUGAGCAAUAAAUUUCAUCCUAGAUUUAGAAGGAAUAAAUAUAUCACUAAAUAUGUUUUUUCACAAUGCCAAGUUAAUCAGGUGGGAGCGAGAAACAAUUCUAGCGAGGCUAGGUUGUACUAGCCCAAAACUACAUACAACAGAGGAAAAAUGAAGAAAAUGAUGGUCUACCAAAUAUGGCGCAUGAGCCUUAAGGUGCACCUAGAGGGAAGUAGAAGAAAUAAAUAUAUAAUAGCAUAUGUUUUUCGCAAUGCAAGGUAAAGUGUAGAUGUGCUCUAACUGGGCUUAGAUUGCAGCGACACAUUAUGCAUCUACAAGGCUUGGUUGCACAUGGAAAAAGAUAGAGAGAGAAAUGUAGACGCAGGACCGGGAGAAAAACAUUCAACGAGACGUGAUUGCACGGACAUAGAACUAGAUAUAAGACAAGAGUUAAAGAAAAAUAAAGGAACUAAAUUUUCUUCUGCACACUAAGCAUGAAUGGAGUUGUAGUAUCUGAGAUCAAAAUUUAAUUUAUUCCAAGAUGCAGAACAAAAACGUGAUACUCGUAAUGGUUACAUAGGAACAUAAGUAGAUAAGAAAAAUAGCAAAAAGAUAGUGGUCUACCAGAGAGGGCACAUGUGCCUCAAUUGGCCUAUAGCAUAGCGACUCAUUAUCCUUCCACCGCUGGUGGCGGGCGGUACUCGCUGCUCUGUGAAGCCAGCCUCACGCAAUGUCUGCCACUUUAGGUGUUGGGAUGCAAAGGCUUUCGCCAAGGCAUCCGAAACCCACUACACAACUUGGAAUGGGUGGUCCACAGUUGGUAGCACUAGACCCAGGCACAUGCACCACAAUUGACAUCCACACUACCUUAUUGCCCCCGCUCGGGUUACAAGCAAUCGCUACUUGCUCAGCGAGUGAGGGGGUUCAAGACUACCUAUUUAAGGUGGUGUUGUACUCUAUGAGCCGGUGGUGUGGUAUUUACCAACUACAAAUAGUGUCAUGCAUGUGACUUGCUAGUUGACAAUGUCUGUUGUCAAGCUAGGUGUGGGCUAUGGAUGAAGCACAUUAGGAUAUAGUAGGCCUAUUUUGUUUUUUGUUGUUUUUGGGCCACUAUGGACUUUAUGUUGAUGUUGUGAAUUUUUUUUCUUGUGUUUCCUCUUCCUACAAUGUGGAAAGUGGGUGCGUCAGAGAAGAAAGAAAGAGUGGCUAGCAUUGAUUUUACGUCAUACCAUUGAGAACACUAAUCAGAAGCAGAAGCAACAAUAUUUCAUACAUAUACAACACUUGUAAUCCAUAUAAACAACAUUCCUUUAAAAUAUAAUAUAAACCACAUGAUUUAUAUCCUGGGUCGGCUAUCUCCACAAAGGGCAAGAAAACGCUCCAAGUUUGUAGUAUAGCACUAAAAGUGUCGAUUCUCACGAUUUCUUCCCGACAUAUACAAACUAGACAGUAAUCACAUAAAAUAAAGAAAUAUGUGUUAACACGAACUUAUAGCAUGUAUUUCAACAUAUAGAUUGUUGAUUAUUAUGGUAGAUUAUAUAAAAUAGGGGUUCCCGAAGAAAUACAUAAAAACAAGAGCAUUAAAAUUUCCUUUUCAGAUCUGGCUAUCUGGUAAAAGGAGUUGGAGUAACUGAGUUUCCAAAUUUGUGACGUAGCUCUAUAGAAGGAAUAUAAAUACGUUGGAAAAAUUCUAUAAGGAAAGGUUUAAUACAAGUAGGGCUAAGAAAAACUCAAUGAGGCUUUGGUCGCAUGGUCACAAAACUUGAGACAAGAAACACGAAGACACCAAGGUAAUUAGUAUGAGAGUUUUCCAAAUUUGGUGUCUUGAUGUAGAAAAAAUAAAUAUAUGACAAACUUGUUUUUCGCAAGGCAUGGAUAAAUAAGUGGGGGUGAGCAAUAAAUUUCAUCCUAGAUUUAGAAGGAAUAAAUAUAUCACUUAAUAUGUUUUUUCACAAUGCCAAGUUAAUCAGGUGGGAGCGAGAAACAAUUCUAGCGAGGCUAGGUUGUACUAGCCCAAAACUACAUACAACAGAGGAAAAAUGAAGAAAAUGAUGGUCUACCAAAUAUGGUGCAUGAGCCUUAAGGUGCACCUAGAGGGAAGUAGAAGAAAUAAAUAUAUAAUAGCAUAUGUUUUUCGCAAUGCAAGGUAAAGUGUAGAUGUGCUCUAACUGGGCUUAGAUUGCAGCGACACAUUAUGCAUCUACAAGGCUUGGUUGCACAUGGAAAAAGAUAGAGAGAGAAAUGUAGACGCAAGACCGGGAGAAAAACAUUCAAUGAGACGUGAUUGCACGGACAUAGAACUAGAUAAAAGACAAGAGUUAAAGAAAAAUAAAGGAACUAAAUUUUCUUCUGCACACUAAGCAUGAAUGGAGUUGUAGUAUCUGAGAUCAAAAUUUAAUUUAUUCCAAGAUGCAGAACAAAAACGUGAUACUCGUAAUGGUUACAUAGGAACAUAAGUAGAUAAGAAAAAUAGCAAAAAGAUAGUGGUCUACCAGAGAGGGCACAUGUGCCUCAAUUGGCCUAUAGCAUAGCGACUCAUUAUCCUUCCACCGCUGGUGGCGGGCGGUACUCGCUGCUCUGUGAAGCCAGCCUCACGCAAUGUCCGCCACUUUAGGUGUUGGGAUGCAAAGGCUUUUGCCAAGGCAUCCGAAACCCACUACACAACUUGGAAUGGGUGGUCCACAGUUUGUAGCACUAGACCCAGGCACAUGCACCACAAUUGACAUCCACACUACCUUAUUGCCCCCGCUCGGGUUACAAGCAAUCGCUACUUGCUCAACGAGUGAGGGGGUUCAAGACUACCUAUUUAAGGUGGUGUUGUACUCUAUGAGCCGGCGGUGUGGUAUUUACCAACUACAAAUAGUGUCAUGCAUGUGACUUGCUAGUUGACAAUGUCUGUUGUCAAGCUAGGUGUGGGCUAUGGAUGAAGCACAUUAGGAUAUAGUAGGCCUAUUUUGUUUUUUGUUGUUUUUGGGCCACUAUGGACUUUAUGUUGAUGUUGUGAAUUUUUUUUCUUGUGUUUCCUCUUCCUACGAUGUGGAAAGUGGGUGCGUCAGAGAAGAAAGAAAGAGUGGCUAGCAUUGAUUUUACGUCAUACCAUUGAGAACACUAAUCAGAAGCAGAAGCAACAAUAUUUCAUACAUAUACAACACUUGUAAUCCAUAUAAACAACAUUCCUUUAAAAUAUAAUAUAAACCACAUGAUUUAUAUCCUGGGUCAGCUAUCUCCACAAAGGGCAAGAAAACGCUCCAAGUUUGUAGUAUAGCACUAAAAGUGUCGAUUCUCACGAUUUCUUCCCGACAUAUACAAACUAGACAGUAAUCACAUAAAAUAAAGAAAUAUGUGUUAACACGAACUUAUAGCAUGUAUUUCAACAUAUAGAUUGUUGAUUAUUAUGGUAGAUUAUAUAAAAUAGGGGUUCCCGAAGAAAUACAUAAAAACAAGAGCAUUAAAAUUUCCUUUUCAGAUCUGGCUAACUGGUAAAGGGAGUUGGAGUAUCUGAGUUUCCAAAUUUGGGACGUCGCUCUAUAGAAGGAAUAUAAAUACAUUGGAAAAAAUUCUACAAGGAAAGGUUUAAUACAAGUAGCGCUAAGAAAAACUCAAUGAGGCUUUGGUCGCUUGGUCACAAAACUUGAGACAAGAAACACGAAGACACCAAGGUAAUUAGUAUGAGAGUUUUCCAAAUUUGGUGUCUUGAUGUAGAAAAAAUAAAUAUAUGACAAACUUGUUUUUUCGUAAGGCAUGGAUAAAUAAGUGGGGGUGAGCAAUAAAUUUCAUCCUAGAUUUAGAAGGAAUAAAUAUAUCACUAAAUAGGUUUUUUCACAAUGCCAAGUUAAUCAGGUGGGAGCGAGAAACAAUUCUAGCGAGGCUAGGUUGUACUAGCCCAAAACUACAUACAACAGAGGAAAAAUGAAGAAAAUGAUGGUCUACCAAAUAUGGCGCAUGAGCCUUAAGGUGCACCUAGAGGGAAGUAGAAGAAAUAAAUAUAUAAUGGCAUAUGUUUAUCGCAAUGCAAGGUAAAGUGUAGAUGUGCUCUAACUGGGCUUAGAUUGCAGCGACACAUUAUGCAUCUACAAGGCUUGGUUGCACAUGGAAAAAGAUAGAGAGAGAAAUGUAGAUGCAGGACCGGGUGAAAAACAUUCAAUGAGACGUGAUUGCACGGACAUAGAACUAGAUAUAAGACAAGAGUUAAAGAAAAAUAAAGGAACUAAAUUUUCUUCUGCACACUAAGCAUGAAUGGAGUUGUAGUAUCUGAGAUCAAAAUUUAAUUUAUUCCAAGAUGCAGAACAAAAAUGUGAUACUCGUAAUGGUUACAUAGGAGCAAAAGUAGAUAAGAAAAAUAGCAAAAAGAUAGUGGUCUACCAGAGAGGGCACAUGUGCCUCAAUUGUCUUAUAGCAUAGCGACUCAUUAUCCUUCCACCGCUGGUGGCGGGCGGUACUCGCUGCUCUGUGAAGCCAGCCUCACGCAAUGUCCGCCACUUUAGGUGUUGGGAUGCAAAGACUUUCGCCAAGGCAUCCGAAACCCACUACACAACUUGGAAUGGGUGGUCCACUGUUUGUAGCACUAGACCCAGGCACAUGCACCACAAUUGACAUCCACACUACCUUAUUGCCCCGCUCGGGUUACAAGCAAUCGCUACUUGCUCAGCGAGUGAGGGGGUUCAAGACUACCUAUUUAAGGUGGUGUUGUACUCUAUGAGCCGGCGGUGUGGUAUUUACCAACUACAAAUAGUGUCAUGCAUGUGACUUGCUAGUUGACAAUGUCUGUUGUCAAGCUAGGUGUGGGCUAUGGAUGAAGCACAUUAGGAUAUAGUAGGCCUAUUUUGUUUUUUGUUGUUUUUGGGCCACUAUGGACUUUAUGUUGAUGUUGUGAAAUUUUUUUCUUGUGUUUCCUCUUCCUACGAUGUGGAAAGUGGGUGCGUCAGAGAAGAAAGAAAGAGUGGCUAGCAUUGAUUUUACGUCAUACCAUUGAGAACACUAAUCAGAAGCAGAAGCAACAAUAUUUCAUACAUAUACAACACUUGUAAUCCAUAUAAACAACAUUCCUUUAAAAUAUAAUAUAAACCACAUGAUUUAUAUCCUGGGUCGGCUAUCUCCACAAAGGGCAAGAAAACGCUCCAAGUUUGUAGUAUAGCACUAAAAGUGUCGAUUCUCACGAUUUCUUCCCGACAUAUACAAACUAGACAGUAAUCACAUAAAAUAAAGAAAUAUGUGUUAACACGAACUUAUAGCAUGUAUUUCAACAUAUAGAUUUUUGAUUAUUAUGGUAGAUUAUAUAAAAUAGGGGUUCCCGAAGAAAUACAUAAAAACAAGAGCAUUAAAAUUUCCUUUUCAGAUCUGGCUAUCUGGUAAAAGGAGUUGGAGUAACUGAGUUUCCAAAUUUGUGACGUAGCUCUAUAGAAGGAAUAUAAAUACGUUGGAAAAAUUCUAUAAGGAAAGGUUUAAUACAAGUAGGGCUAAGAAAAACUCAAUGAGGCUUUGGUCGCAUGGUCACAAAACUUGAGACAAGAAACACGAAGACACCAAGGUAAUUAGUAUGAGAGUUUUCCAAAUUUGGUGUCUUGAUGUAGAAAAAAUAAAUAUAUGACAAAUUUGUUUUUUCGCAAGGCAUGGAUAAAUAAGUGGGGGUGAGCAAUAAAUUUCAUCCUAGAUUUAGAAGGAAUAAAUAUAUCACUAAAUACAUUUUUUCACAAUGCCAAAUUAAUCAGGUGGGAGCGAGAAACAAUUGUAGCGAGGCUAGGUUGUACUAGCCCAAAACUACAUACAACAGAGGAAAAAUGAAGAAAAUGAUGGUCUACCAAAUAUGGCGCAUGAGCCUUAAGGUGCACCUAGAGGGAAGUAGAAGAAAUAAAUAUAUAAUAGCAUAUGUUUUUCGCAAUGCAUGGUAAAGUGUAGAUGUGCUCUAACUGGGCUUAGAUUGCAGCGACACAUUAUGCAUCUACAAGGCUUGGUUGCACAUGGAAAAAGAUACAAAAAGAAAUGUAGACGCAGGACCGGGAGAAAAACAUUCAAUGAGACGUGAUUGCACGGACAUAGAACUAGAUAUAAGACAAGAGUUAAAGAAAAAUAAAGGAACUAAAUUUUCUUCUGCACACUAAGCAUGAAUGGAGUUGUAGUAUCUGAGAUCAAAAUUUAAUUUAUUCCAAGAUGCAGAACAAAAAUUUGAUACUCGUAAUGGUUACAUAGGAGCAAAAGUAGAUAAGAAAAAUAGCAAAAAGAUAGUGGUCUACCAGAGAGGGCACAUGUGCCUCAAUUGGCCUAUAGCAUAGCGACUCAUUAUCCUUCCACCGCUGGUGGCGGGCGGUACUCGCUGCUCUGUGAAGCCAGCCUCACACAAUGUCCGCCACUUUAGGUGUUGGGAUGCAAAGGCUUUCGCCAAGGCAUCCGAAACCCACUACACAACUUGGAAUGGGUGGUCCACUGUUUGUAGCACUAGACCCAGGCACAUGCACCACAAUUGACAUCCACACUACCUUAUUGCCCCGCUCGGGUUACAAGCAAUCGCUACUUGCUCAGCGAGUGAGGGGGUUCAAGACUACCUAUUUAAGGUGGUGUUGUACUCUAUGAGCCGGCGGUGUGGUAUUUACCAACUACAAAUAGUGUCAUGCAUGUGACUUGCUAGUUGACAAUGUCUGUUGUCAAGCUAGGUGUGGGCUAUGGAUGAAGCACAUUAGGAUAUAGUAGGCCUAUUUUGUUUUUUGUUGUUUUUGGGCCACUAUGGACUUUAUGUUGAUGUUGUGAAAUUUUUUUCUUGUGUUUCCUCUUCCUACGAUGUGGAAAGUGGGUGCGUCAGAGAAGAAAGAAAGAGUGGCUAGCAUUGAUUUUACGUCAUACCAUUGAGAACACUAAUCAGAAGCAGAAGCAACAAUAUUUCAUACAUAUACAACACUUGUAAUCCAUAUAAACAACAUUCCUUUAAAAUAUAAUAUAAACCACAUGAUUUAUAUCCUGGGUCGGCUAUCUCCACAAAGGGCAAGAAAACGCUCCAAGUUUGUAGUAUAGCACUAAAAGUGUCGAUUCUCACGAUUUCUUCCCGACAUAUACAAACUAGACAGUAAUCACAUAAAAUAAAGAAAUAUGUGUUAACACAAACUUAUAGCAUGUAUUUCAACAUAUAGAUUGUUGAUUAUUAUGGUAGAUUAUAUAAAAUAGGGGUUCCCGAAGAAAUACAUAAAAACAAGAGCAUUAAAAUUUCCUUUUCAGAUCUGGCUAUCUGGUAAAAGGAGUUGGAGUAACUGAGUUUCCAAAUUUGUGACGUAGCUCUAUAGAAGGAAUAUAAAUACGUUGGAAAAAUUCUAUAAGGAAAGGUUUAAUACAAGUAGGGCUAAGAAAAACUCAAUGAGGCUUUGGUCGCAUGGUCACAAAACUUGAGACAAGAAACACGAAGACACCAAGGUAAUUAGUAUGAGAGUUUUCCAAAUUUGGUGUCUUGAUGUAGAAAAAAUAAAUAUAUGACAAAUUUGUUUUUUCGCAAGGCAUGGAUAAAUAGGUGGGGGUGAGCAAUAAAUUUCAUCCUAGAUUUAGAAGGAAUAAAUAUAUCACUAAAUAUGUUUUUUCACAAUGCCAAGUUAAUCAGGUGGGAGCGAGAAACAAUUCUAGCGAGGCUAGGUUGUACUAGCCCAAAACUACAUACAACAGAGGAAAAAUGAAGAAAAUGAUGGUCUACCAAAUAUGGCGCAUGAGCCUUAAGGUGCACCUAGAGGGAAGUAGAAGAAAUAAAUAUAUAAUAGCAUAUAUUUUUCGCAAUGCAUGGUAAAGUGUAGAUGUGCUCUAACUGGGCUUAGAUUGCAGCGACACAUUAUGCAUCUACAAGGCUUGGUUGCACAUGGAAAAAGAUACAGAAAGAAAUGUAGACGCAGGACCGGGAGAAAAACAUUCAAUGAGACGUGAUUGCACAGACAUAGAACUAGAUAUAAGACAAGAGUUAAAGAAAAAUAAAGGAACUAAAUUUUCUUCUGCACACUAAGCAUGAAUGGAGUUGUAGUAUCUGAGAUCAAAAUUUAAUUUAUUCCAAGAUGCAGAACAAAAAUGUGAUACUCGUAAUGGUUACAUAGGAACAAAAGUAGUUAAGAAAAAUAGCAAAAAGAUAGUGGUCUACCAGAGAGGGCACAUGUGCCUCAAUUGGCCUAUAGCAUAGCGACUCAUUAUCCUUCCACCGCUGGUGGCGGGCGGUACUCGCUGCUCUGUGAAGCCAGCCUCACGCAAUGUCCGCCACUUUAGGUGUUGGGAUGCAAAGGCUUUCGCCAAGGCAUCCGAAACCCACUACACAACUUGGAAUGGGUGGUCCACAGUUUGUAGCACUAGACCCAGGCACAUGCACCACAAUUGACAUCCACACUACCUUAUUGCCCCCGCUCGGGUUACAAGCAAUCGCUACUUGCUCAGCGAGUGAGGGGGGGUCAAGACUACCUAUUUAAGGUGGUGUUGUACUCUAUGAGCAGGCGGUCUGGUAUUUACCAACUACAAAUAGUGUCAUGCAUGUGACUUGCUAGUUGACAAUGUCUGUUGUCGAGUUAGAUGUGGGCUAUGGAUGAAGCACAUUAGGAUAUAGUAGGCCUAUUUUGUUUUUUGUUGUUUUUGGGCCACUAUGGACUUUCUGUUGAUGUUGUGAAAUUUUUUCUUGUGUUUCCUCUUCCUACGAUGUGGAAAGUGGGUGCGUCAGAGAAGAAAGAAAGAGUGGCUAGCAUUGAUUUUACGUCAUACCAUUGAGAACACUAAUUAGAAGCAGAAGCAACAAUAUUUCAUACAUAUACAACACUUGUAAUCCAUAUAAACAACUUUCCUUUAAAAUAUAAUAUAAACCACAUGAUUUAUAUCCUGGGUCGGCUAUCUCUACAAAGGGCGAGAAAACGCUCCAAGUUUGUAGUAUAGAACUAAAAGUGUCGAUUCUCAUGAUUUUUCCGACAUAUACAAACUAGACAGUAAUCACAUAAAAUAAAGAAAUAUGUGUUAACACGAACUUAUAGCAUGUAUUUCAACAUACAUAUUGUUGAUUAUUAUGGUAGAUUAUAUAAAAUAGGGGUUCCCGAAGAAAUACAUAAAAACAAGAGCAUUAAAAUUUCCUUUUUAGAUCUGGCUAUCUGGUAAAAGGAGUUGGAGUAACUGAGUUUCCAAAUUUGUGACGUAGCUCUAUAGAAGGAAUAUAAAUACGUUGCAAAAAUUCUACAAGGAAAGGUUAAUACAAGUAGGGCUAAGAAAAACUCAAUUAGGCUUUGGUCGCAUGGUCACAAAACUUGAGACAAGAAACACGAAGACACCAAGGUAAUUAGUAUGAGAGUUUUCGAAAUUUGGUGUCUUGAUGUAGAAAAAAUAAAUAUAUGACAAACUUGUUUUUUCUCAAGGCAUGGAUUGAGAGCACCUAGAGGGGGGGGUGAAUAGGUGAUCCUGUGAAACUUGAAAACUUAAGCCACAAAACUUGGUUAAUCGUUAGCACAAUAAUUGCCAAGUGGCUAAAUAGGAAUCCUCAACAAAAUACAAUAACCAACAAAGAUCAAUCACAGAGAUGACACGGUGGUUAUCCCAUGGUUCGGCCAAGACCAACGCUUGCCUACUCCAUGUUGUGGCGUCCCAACGGACGAGGGUUGCAAUCAACCCCUCUCAAGCGGUCCAAAGACCCACUUGAAUACCACGGUGUUUUGCUUUGCUUAUCUUUAUCCCACUUGCGAGGAAUCUCCACAAAUUGGAGUCUCUCGCCCUUACACUUAAAGUUCACAAAGAAGCACGGAGUAAGGGAGGGAAGCAACACACACAAAUCCACAGCAAAAUGCGCACACACACGGCCAAGAAUCGAGCUCAAAAGACUAUCUCAAAGUUCUCACUAGAACGGAGCUCGAAUCACUGAGAAUGACAAACGAAUGCGCAAAGACUGAGUGUGGAUGAUCAAGAAUGCUCUAAGGUUGCUUGGUUUUUCUCCUCCAUGCGCCUAGGGGUCCCUUUUAUAGCCCCAAGGCGGCUAGGAGCCGUUGAGAACAAAUCUGGAAGGCCAUCCUUGCCUUCUGUCGUCGGGCGCACCGGACAGUCCGGUGCACACCGGACACUGUCCGGUGCCCGAUUUCCUUCCUUAAAUGGCGAAGCCGACCGUUGCAGAUGUGGGAGCCGUUGGCGCACCGGACAUGUCCGGUGCACACCGGACAGUCCGGUGCCCCCUUCCGACCGUUGGCUCGGCCACGUGUCGCGCGCGGAUUCCGUGGCCGACCGUUGGCCCGGCCGACCGUUGGCUCACCGGACAGUCCGGUGCACACCGGACAGUCCGGUGAAUUUUAGGCGUACGUCGCCGGUGAAUUCCCGAGAGCGGCCAGUUCGCUCGAGCCAGCCUGGCGCACCGGACACAGUCCGGUGCACCACCGGACAGUCCGGUGCCCCAGACCGAAACAGCCUCUUGGCUGUACACAGCCAACUCUUCUCUUUCCUUCUUCUUUUUGUUUCUGAUACUUAGACAAGUAUAUUAGUACACAAAACCAAUGUACUAAGACUUAGAAACAUACCUUUGCUCUUGAUUUGCACUUUGUCCAUUCAUGGGCAUAGAUUUACAUUUAAUUACUUGUGUUGGCACUCAAUCACCAAAAUACUUAGAAAUGGCCCAAGGGCACAUUUCCCUUUCAAUCUCCCCCUUUUUGGUGAUUUAUGCCAACACAACAUAAAGCAACUAGAACAAGUGCAAUAUUACUUCAAAUAAAAACUCAAAUUCAUUUUGAUUCAAUUUGGCAUAUAUGGAUCAUCCUUUGCCACCACUUGGUUUGUUUUUGCAAAUCAAACUCAAAAUCCUAUCUCUAAGUCAAAUCCACUUGUAGAGACAUAAAGAGAGGUUUUCCAUAGAAGAUUGAUUCAAGAUUCCAAAAACUCCCCCUUUUUCCCAUAAUCAACACUUCACCCCACAAGAGGCCAACUUUUGAUAAAAGAGACAAUGCAAGAGUAUUGACAAACCAAAAGCUCUAUCCUACUGUUUUCAAAGUUUCUCAAGUGGUAGCUGAUCCAUUUAUUGCUUUGGCCUUUAUUUUCUCCCCCUUUGGCGUCAAGCACCAAAACGGGAUCAAUCUUGGCCCUUUAACCCCAUUGCCUCACCAAAAUCUUCAAUUAAGAGCAAAUAGGCAAUAAGAGUUAAAAGAUGAACUUGGAAAAGUUACUCUUUUCAUCGGAGUGCAGUGGAAGUCUUGCAUGGUCCAAGUCCACCUUUUCCCUUUUAAUUCUCCUUCGAGACUAAAACAAGCAAACUCAAGCAUAUGGUUAGUCUCAAAGGGUCAAGUUGUAACACAUCUCCCCCUAAAACUGUGCAUCACUUUGCAACGGACUUGUGAGGUCCAGGGAGUGUUUGUACAACUUGAGCACCAUACUAAACAACAAAAUGCAAAAAGGAUCAUGAUCAAAAGCAUAAAUACAUGUAUGCUACAAUUCAAUCCAAGUUCCGCGAAUCUACGACAUUUAGCUCACUACGCAGCCUGCAAAAGGUCUUCUCAUCUAGAGGCUUGGUAAAGAUAUCGGCUAGCUGGUUCUCGGUGCUAACAUGAAACACUUCGAUAUCUCCCUUUUGCUGGUGAUCUCUCAAAAAGUGAUGCCGGAUGUCAAUGUGCUUUGUGCGGCUGUGUUCAACAGGAUUUUCCGCCAUGCGGAUAGCACUCUCAUUGUCACAUAGGAGUGGGACUUUGCUCAGAUUGUAGCCAAAGUCCCUGAGGGUUUGCCUCAUCCAAAGUAGUUGCGCGCAACACUGUCCUGCGGCAACAUACUCGGCCUCAGCGGUGGAUAGGGCAACGGAGGUUUGUUUCUUAGAGUUCCACGACACCAGGGACCUUCCUAAGAAUUGGCACGUCCCUGAUGUACUCUUCCUAUCGACCUUACAUCCAGCAUAGUCGGAAUCUGAGUUUCCAACCAAGUCAAAGGUAGACCCCUUUGGAUACCAGAGCCCGAAGCAAGGCGUAGCAACCAAAUAUCUAAGAAUUCGCUUCACCGCCACUAAGUGACACUCCUUAGGAUUGGAUUGAAAUCUAGCACACAUGCAUACGCUAAGCAUAAUAUCCGGUCUACUAGCACAUAAAUAAAGUAAAGACCCUAUCAUUGACCGGUAUGCUUUUUGAUCAACGGACUUACCUCCUUUGUUGAGGUCGGUGUGUCCGUCGGUCCCCAUCGGAGUCUUUGCGGGCUUGGCGUCCUUCAUCCCAAACCGCUUCAGCAGGUCUUGCGUGUACUUUGUUUGGGAGAUGAAGGUGCCGUCCUUGAGUUGCUUCACUUGAAACCCAAGGAAGUAGUUCAACUCGCCCAUCAUCGACAUCUCGAAUUUCUGCAUCAUAACCCUGCUAAACUCUUCACAAGACUUUUGGUUAGUAGAACCAAAUAUUAUGUCAUCGACAUAAAUUUGGCACACAAACAAAUCACCAUCACAUGUCUUAGUAAAAAGAGUUGGAUCGGCUUUCCCAACCUUGAAGGCAUUUGCAAUUAAAAAGUCUUUAAGGCAUUCAUACCAUGCUCUUGGGGCUUGCUUAAGUCCAUAGAGCGCCUUAGAGAGCUUACACACGUGGUCGGGGUACCGUUCAUCCUCGAAGCCAGGGGGUUGCUCUACGUACACCUCCUCCUUGAUUGGCCCGUUGAGGAAAGCGCUCUUCACAUCCAUUUGGAACAACCUGAAAGAAUGGUGAGCGACAUAUGCUAGCAAGAUACGAAUUGAUUCUAGCCUAGCCACAGGAGCAAACGUCUCCUCAAAGUCCAAACCUGCGACUUGGGCAUAACCUUUUGCCACAAGUCGAGCCUUGUUCCUCGUCACCACCCCGUGCUCGUCCUGUUUGUUGCGGAAUACCCACUUGGUUCCCACAACGUUUUGCUUGGGACGAGGCACCAGUGUCCAAACUUCAUUUCGCUUGAAGUUGUUGAGUUCCUCCUGCAUGGCUAACACCCAGUCCGGAUCUAGCAAGGCCUCUUCUACCCUGAAAGGCUCAAUAGAAGAGACAAAGGAGUAAUGCUCACAAAAAUUAACUAAUCGAGAUCGAGUAGUUACUCCCUUGCUAAUAUCACCCAGAAUUUGGUCGACGGGAUGAUCCCUUUGAAUCAUCGCUCGAACUUGGGUUGGAGGUGCCGGUUGUGCUUCUUCCUCCAUCACAUGAUCAUCUUGUGCUCCCCAUUGAUCACACUCCUCUUGAUGAACCUGUUCAUCGUUUUGAGUUGGGGGAUGCAUCAUUGUUGAGGAAGAAGGUUGAUCUUGCUCCAAUUGUUCCUGUGGUCGCACAUCACCAAUCGCCAUGGUGCGCAUAGCGGCCGUUGGAACGUCUUCUUCAUCUAAAUCAUCAAGAUCAACAACUUGCUCUCUUGGAGAGCCAUUAGUCUCAUCAAAUACAACGUCGCUAGAGACUUCAACCAAACCCGAUGAUUUGUUGAAGACUCUAUACGCCUUUGUAUUUGACUCAUAACCUAACAAAAACCCUUCUACAGCUUUGGGAGCAAACUUAGAAUUUCUACCCUUCUUUACUAGAAUGUAGCACUUGCUCCCAAAUACACGAAAGUAAGAUACAUUGGGUUUGUUACCGGUUAGUAGCUCAUACGAAGUCUUCUUGAGGAGGCGAUGAAGGUAGACCCUGUUGAUGGCGUGGCAAGCCAUGUUCACGGCUUCCGACUAGAAACACUCGGGGGUCUUGAAUUCUCCAAGCAUCGUCCUCGCCAUAUCGAUUAGUGUCCUGUUCUUCCUCUCUACCACACCAUUUUGCUGUGGUGUGUAGGGAGCGGAGAACUCGUGCUUGAUCCCUUCCUCCUCAAGGAACUCCUCCACUUGAAGAUUCUUGAAAUCGGACCCGUUGUCGCUCCUUAUCUUCUUCACCUUGAGCUCAAACUCAUUUUGAGCUCUCCUAAGGAAGCGCUUGAGGGUCCCUUGGGUUUCAGACUUAUCCUGCAAAAAGAACACCCAAGUGAAGCGGGAAAAGUCAUCGACAAUAACUAGACCAUACUUACUUCCCCCUAUGCUCAGAUAGGCGACGGGUCCGAAGAGGUCCAUAUGCAGCAGCUCCAGGGGUCUUGAAGUGGUCAUCACAUUCUUGCUGUGAUGCGCUCCUCCCACUUGUUUACCUGCUUGACAAGCUGCACAAGGUCUAUCUUUUUCGAAUUGUACGUUAGUCAAACCUAUCACGUGUUCUCCCUUUAGAAGCUUGUGAAGGUUCUUCAUCCCCACAUGUGCUAAGCGGCGAUGCCACAGCCAGCCCAUGCUAGUCUUAGCAAUUAAGCAUGCAUCUAGACCGGCCUCUUCUUUUGCAAAAUCAACUAAGUAAAGCUUGCCGUCUAAUACACCCUUAAAAGCUAGUGAACCAUCACUUCUUCUAAAGACAGACACAUCUACAUUUGUAAAUAGACAGUUAUAUCCCAUAUUGCAUAAUUGACUAACAGAUAACAAAUUAUAUCCAAGAGACUCUACUAAAAACACAUUAGAGAUAGAGUGCUCAUUAGAAAUUGCAAUUUUACCUAACCCUUUUACCUUGCCUUGAUUCCCAUCACCGAAUAUAAUUGAAUCUUGGGAAUCCUUAUUCUUGACGUAGGAGGUGAACAUCUUCUUCUCCCCCGUCAUAUGGUUUGUGCAUCCGCUGUCGAUAAUCCAGCUUGAACCCCCGGAUGCAUAAACCUGCAAGGCAAAUUUAGGCUUGGGACUUAGGUACCCAACUCUUGUUGGGUCCUACAAGGUUAGUCACAAUUUCCUUAGGGAUCCAAAUGCAAGUUUUAUCACCCUUGCAUUUUGCCCCUAACUUCCUAGCAAUCACCUUUCUAUCCUUUCUACAAAUUGCAAAGGAAGCAUUCAAAGCAUGAUAUAUUGUAGAAGGCUCAUUAACUUUCCUAGGCACAUUAACAACAUUUCUCCUAGGCAUAUUAUGAACAACAUUUCUCCUACCAACGUUCCUAUCAUGCUCAUAGAAAGAACUAGAAGCAACCAUGUCAUGAUAAACAUAUGAAUCAAAAACAUUAUAACUUCUAUUUGCAUUUCUAGUAUGUCUCCUAUCAUGAUACAUAAAAGCAUGGUUCUUUUUAGCACUACCAGCCAUAGGGGCCUUCCCUUUCUCCUUGGCGGAAAUGGGAGCCUUAUGGCUUGUUAAGUUCUUGGCUUCCCUCUUGAAGCCAAGUCCAUCCUUAAUUGAGGGAUGUCUACCAAUCGUAUAGGCAUCCCUUGCAAAUUUUAAUUUAUCAAAUUCGCUUUUGCUAGUCUUAAGUUGGGCAUUAAGACUAGCCACUUCAUCAUUCAAUUUAGAAAUUGAAACUAGGUGUUCACUACAAGCAUCAACAUUAAAAUCUUUACACCUAGUGCAAACCAUAACAUGUUCUACACAAGAGUUAGAUUUACUAGCCACUUCUAGUUUAGCAUUUAAAUCAUUAUUAACACCUUUUAAAGUAGCAAUGGUUUCAUGACAAGAAGAUAAUUCACUAGAAAGCACUUCAUUUCUUUUAACUUCUAAAGCAUAAGAUUUUUGUGCCUCUACAAAUUUGUCAUGCUCUUCAUAUAAAAGAUCCUCUUGUUUUUCUAAGAGUCUAUCCUUUUCAUUCAAGGCAUCAAUCAAUUCAUUAAUCUUUUCUACUUUAGUUCUAUCCAAUCCCUUGAACAAACUAGAGUAAUCUAUUUCUUCAUCACUGGACUCAUCAUCACUAGAAGAAUCAUAAGUGACAUUGUUUUGAUUGCAUACCUUCUUCUCCCUUGCCAUAAGGCAUGUGUGACGCUCGUUGGGGAAGAGGGAUGACUUGUUGAAGGCGGUGGCGGCGAGUCCUUCAUUGUCGGAGUCGGAGGAGAAGCAAUCUGAAUCCCACUCCUUUCCGAUAUGUGCCUCGCCCUUGGCCUUCUUGUAAUGCUUCUUCUUCUCCCUUUUGUUCCCCUUUUCCUGGUCACUUUCAUUAUCGGGACAGUUAGCAAUGAAAUGACCAAUCUUACCGCAUUUGAAGCACGAGCGCUUCUCCUUUGUCUUGGUCUUGCUUGGCUGUCCCUUGCGACCUUUAAGCGCCGUCUUGAAGCGCUUAAUGAUGAGGGCCAUCUCCUCAUUAUUUAGCCCGGCCGCCUCAACUUGCGCCACCUUGCUCGGUAGCGCCUCCUUGCUCCUCGUUGCCUUGAGAGCAAUGGGUUGAGGCUCAUGAAUAGGACCGUUCAACGCGUCGUCCACAUAUCUUGCCUCCUUGAUCAUCAUUCGCCCGCUUACGAACUUCCCCAGAACUUCUUCGGGCGACAUCUUGGUGUACCUAGGAUUUUCACGAAUAUUGUUCACCAAAUGAGGAUCAAGAACGGUAAAGGACCUUAGCAUUAGGCGGACGACGUCGUGAUCCGUCCAUCGCGUGCUUCCGUAGCUCCUUAUUUUGUUGAUAAGGGUCUUGAGCCGGUUGUAUGUUUGAGUUGGCUCCUCGCCCCUUAUCAUUGCGAACCGUCCAAGCUCGCCCUCCACCAACUCCAUCUUGGUGAGUAAGGUGACAUCGUUCCCCUCAUGAGAGAUCUUGAGGGUGUCCCAGAUCUGCUUGGCAUUGUCCAAGCCGCUCACCUUAUGGUACUCGUCCCUGCACAAAGAGGCUAGCAACACAGUAGUAGCUUGUGCAUUUUUAUGAAUCUGUUCAUUAAUAAACAUGGGACUAUCCGUACUAUCAAAGUGCAUUCCACUUUCUACAAUCUCCCAUAUGCUAGGAUGGAGAGAGAACAAGUGACUACGCAUUUUGUGACUCCAAAAUCCGUAGUCCUCUCCAUCAAAAUGAGGAGGUUUACUAAGUGGAAUAGAUAAUAACUGAGCAUUAGUACUUUGAGGAAUACGAGAGUAAUCAAAAGAAAAGUACGAAUUGACCGGUUUCUUUCUCUCGUAUUCGUUGUGGUCGUCGUCCUUUUGGGAGGAAGUAGACUCAUCGCUGUCGUAGUAGACGAUCUCCUUGAUGUGUCUUGUCUUCUUCUUCUUCCCAUCUUUGCGUCUGUGGCCCGAGCCCGAGUCGUUGGACUUGUCAUCCCUUGGCUCGUUGACGAAGGACUCCUUCUCCUUGUCGUUGAUCACGAUUCCCUUCCCUUUAGGAUCCAUCUCUUCGGGCGGUUAGUCCCUUUGUGAAGAGAACGGCUCUGAUACCAAUUGAGAGCACCUAGAGGGGGGGUGAAUAGGUGAUCCUGUGAAACUUGAAAACUUAAGCCACAAAACUUGGUUAAUCGUUAGCACAAUAAUUGCCAAGUGGCUAAAUAGGAAUCCUCAACAAAAUACAAUAACCAACAAAGAUCAAUCACAGAGAUGACACGGUGGUUAUCCCGUGGUUCGGCCAAGACCAACGCUUGCCUACUCCACGUUGUGGCGUCCCAACGGACGAGGGUUGCAAUCAACCCCUCUCAAGCGGUCCAAAGACCCACUUGAAUACCACGGUGUUUUGCUUUGCUUAUCUUUAUCCCACUUGCGAGGAAUCUCCACAAAUUGGAGUCUCUCGCCCUUACACUUAAAGUUCACAAAGAAGCACGGAGUAAGGGAGGGAAGCAACACACACAAAUCCACAGCAAAAUGCGCACACACACGGCCAAGAAUCGAGCUCAAAAGACUAUCUCAAAGUUCUCACUAGAACGGAGCUCGAAUCACUGAGAAUGACAAACGAAUGCGCAAAGACUGAGUGUGGAUGAUCAAGAAUGCUCUAAGGUUGCUUGGUUUUUCUCCUCCAUGCGCCUAGGGGUCCCUUUUAUAGCCCCAAGGCGGCUAGGAGCCGUUGAGAACAAAUCUGGAAGGCCAUCCUUGCCUUCUGUCGUCGGGCGCACCGGACAGUCCGGUGCACACCGGACACUGUCCGGUGCCCGAUUUCCUUCCUUAAAUGGCGAAGCCGACCGUUGCAGAUGUGGGAGCCGUUGGCGCACCGGACAUGUCCGGUGCACACCAGACAGUCCGGUGCCCCCUUCCGACCGUUGGCUCGGCCACGUGUCGCGCGCGGAUUCCGCGGCCGACCGUUGGCCCGGCCGACCGUUGGCUCACCGGACAGUCCGGUGCACACCGGACAGUCCGGUGAAUUUUAGGCGUACGUCGCCGGUGAAUUCCCGAGAGCGGCCAGUUCGCUCGAGCCAGCAUGGCGCACCGGACACUGUCCGAUGCACCACCGGACAGUCCGGUGCCCCAGACCGAAACAGCCUCUUGGCUGUACACAGCCAACUCUUCUCUUUCCUUCUUCUUUCUGUUUCUGAUACUUAGACAAGUAUAUUAGUACACAAAACCAAUGUACUAAGACUUAGAAACAUACCUUUGCUCUUGAUUUGCACUUUGUCCAUUCAUGGGCAUAGAUUUACAUUUAAGCACUUGUGUUGGCACUCAAUCACCAAAAUACUUAGAAAUGGCCCAAGGGCACAUUUCCCUUUCAUGGAUAAAUAAGUGGGGGUGAGCAAUAAAUUUCAUCCUAGAUUUAGAAGGAAUAAAUAUAUCACUAAAUACGUUUUUUUUUACAAUGGCAAGUUAAUCAGGUGGGAGCGAGAAACAAUUCUAGCGAGGCUAGGUUGUACUAGCCCAAAAUUACAUACAACAGAGGAAAAAUGAAGAAAAUGAUGGUCUACCAAAUAUGGCGCAUGAGCCUUAAGGUGCACCUAGAGGGAAGUAGAAGAAUAAAUAUAUAAUAGCAUAUGUUUUUCGCAAUGCAAGGUAAAGUGUAGAUGUGCUCUAACUGGGCUUAGAUUGCAGCGACACAUUAUGCAUCUACAAGGCUUGGUUGCACAUGGAAAAAGAUAGAGAGAGAAAUGUAGACGCAGGACCGGGAGAAAACAUUCAAUGAGACGUGAUUGCACGGACAUAGAACUAGAUAUAAGACAAGAGUUAAAGAAAAAAAGGAACUAAAUUUUCUUGUGCACACUAAGCAUGAAUGGAGUUGUAGUAUCUGAGAUCAAAAUUUAAUUUAUUCCAAGAUGCAGAACAAAAACGUGAUAUUCGUAAUGGUUACAUAGGAACAAAAGUAGAUAAGAAAAAUAGCAAAAAGAUAGUGGUCUACCAGAGAGGGCACAUGUGCCUCAAUUGGCCUAUAGCAUAGUGGCUCAUUAUCCUUCCACCGCUGGUGGCGGGCGGUACUCGCUGCUCUGUGAAGCCAGCCUCACGCAAUGUCCGCCACUUUAGGUGUUGGGAUGCAAAGGCUUUCGCCAAGGCAUCCGAAACCCACUACACAACUUGGAAUGGGUGGUCCACAAUUUGUAGCACUAGACCCAUACACAUGCACCACAAUUGAUAUCCACACUACCUUAUUGCCCCCGCUCGGGUUACAAGCAAUCGCUACU
RNAcentral lists this long non-coding RNA (20391 nucleotides) under Zea mays. RNAcentral's name for it is "long non-coding RNA (ZMAY_LNC000227)". The record is from RNAcentral. Lineage: Eukaryota; Viridiplantae; Streptophyta; Magnoliopsida; Poales; Poaceae.